RNAcentral lists this ribosomal RNA (634 nucleotides) under Turbinellus kauffmanii. Its description in RNAcentral is "eukaryotic LSU rRNA". It matches the Rfam family "Eukaryotic large subunit ribosomal RNA", at positions 44 to 655 of the family's 3401-position model. Lineage: Eukaryota; Fungi; Basidiomycota; Agaricomycetes; Gomphales; Gomphaceae. The record is from RNAcentral.
UCUUGAACACGGGAAAAGAAACUAACAAGGAUUCCCCUAGUAACGGCGAGUGAAGCGGGAAGAGCUCAAAUUUGUAAUCUGGCGGCCUUUGGCCGUCCGAGUUGUAGUCUCGAGAAGCGUCUUCUGCGUCGGACCGUGUACAAGUCCCUUGGAACAGGGCGUCGUAGAGGGUGAGAAUCCCGUCUUUGACACGGACUGCCGGUGCUUUGUGAUGCGCUCUCAAAGAGUCGAGUUGUUUGGGAAUGCAGCUCAAAACGGGUGGUAAAUUCCAUCUAAAGCUAAAUAUUGGCGAAAGACCGAUAGCGAACAAGUACCGUGAGGGAAAGAUGAAAAGCACUUUGGAAAGAGAGUUAAACAGUACGUGAAAUUGCUGAAAGGGAAACGCUUGAAGUCAGUCGCGUCUCCUGGGACUCAGCCGUGCCUCUGGGCGCGGUGUACUUCCUGGGGUUUGACGGGCCAGCAUCGAUUUCGACCGUCGGAAAAAGGCCUCGGGAACGUGGCACCUUCGGGUGUGUUAUAGCCCUGGGUCGCAUGCGACGGUCGGGAUCGAGGACCGCAGCACGCCUUUUUGGCCGGGGUUCGCCCACGUAACGUGCUUAGGAUGCUUGGCGUAAUGGYUUUAACCGACCCUCUU